Molecule: ribosomal RNA, 802 nt
Filed under: uncultured bacterium
Lineage: Bacteria
Description: bacterial SSU rRNA
Rfam family: Bacterial small subunit ribosomal RNA
Source: RNAcentral
AGAGUUUGAUCCUGGCUCAGGAUGAACGCUGGCGGCGUGCCUAACACAUGCAAGUCGAACGGAAUUUACAUGAAGCCUAGCGAUUGUAAAUUUAGUGGCGGACGGGUGAGUAACGCGUGGGUAACCUGCCUUGUACUGGGGGACAACAGUUGGAAACGACUGCUAAUACCGCAUAAGCCCACGGUACCGCAUGGUACUGAGGGAAAAGGAUUUAUUCGCUUUAGGAUGGACUCGCGUCCAAUUAGCUAGUUGGUGAGGUAACGGCCCACCAAGGCGACGAUUGGUAGCCGGACUGAGAGGUUGAACGGCCACAUUGGGACUGAGACACGGCCCAGACUCCUACGGGAGGCAGCAGUGGGGGAUAUUGCACAAUGGGGGAAACCCUGAUGCAGCGACGCCGCGUGGAGGAAGAAGGUUUUCGGAUUGUAAACUCCUGUCGUUAGGGACGAUAAUGACGGUACCUAACAAGAAAGCACCGGCUAACUACGUGCCAGCAGCCGCGGUAAAACGUAGGGUGCAAGCGUUGUCCGGAAUUACUGGGUGUAAAGGGAGCGCAGGCGGGAAGACAAGUUGGAAGUGAAAACCAUGGGCUCAACCCAUGAAUUGCUUUCAAAACUGUUUUUCUUGAGUAGUGCAGAGGUAGAUGGAAUUCCCGGUGUAGCGGCGGAAUGCGUAGAUAUCGGGAGGAACACCAGUGGCGAAGGCGGUCUACUGGGCACCAACUGACGCUGAGGCUCGAAAGCAUGGGUAGCAAACAGGAUUAGAUACCCUGGUAGUCCAUGCCGUAAACGAUGAUUACUAG